UUCUGUGUCUGCUGCCUUGCAAUUCCAUGGACUUUGUGACUGCUUUGGCAAAUAAUGGAUGGCUGUGACUUCUAAAGUUAGAUAGGGAGGAUGCCUCCAUGCUCUCUGGAGUAUGUGCCCUUGGCCCUUGCCCAUCAUGUGAUGAGGAAGCCCAAGUUGUCCAUCGAAUCCACAUGAAAAGGACAUGAAAUCACUGGCUUACUCCCAUGGCUGCUCUUUCAUCUGCGAGCAGAAACAACUUGCCAGCCAUAGUGCCCAUGAGAGACGUGCAGCCAGAAGAGCAGUGGGCAGUGACAGCUGGACCUGGGCUCAGCCCUAACACAUGGACAUCUAACACAUGGACAUCUGAGCUGCCUCAAAGACACAGCUUUGAGAUCGUAAUGGGUUGUUGAGACCAUCUGGAUGGUGUACCUGACUCAGCCCAUUACAUAAAUUUUUCAAAUCUGGCAGGCAAGUGCAGAGAAUAUUUGUCUUUGA
Molecule: long non-coding RNA, 477 nt
Organism: Myotis myotis
Lineage: Eukaryota; Metazoa; Chordata; Mammalia; Chiroptera; Vespertilionidae
Exons: 3
Source: RefSeq, a predicted model, not a curated record